Molecule: transfer RNA, 88 nt
Filed under: uncultured Rubrobacteraceae bacterium
Lineage: Bacteria; Bacillati; Actinomycetota; Rubrobacteria; Rubrobacterales; Rubrobacteraceae
Description: tRNA-Ser-TGA
Rfam family: tRNA
About the family: Transfer RNA (tRNA) molecules are approximately 80 nucleotides in length. Their secondary structure includes four short double-helical elements and three loops (D, anti-codon, and T loops).
Source: RNAcentral
GGGGGCAUGGCAGAGCGGCCGAAUGCGCUGGUCUUGAAAACCAGAGGCGCCAAAACGCCCGAAGGUUCGAAUCCUUCUGCCCCCGCCG